UUUUUUUUUUUUUUUUUGAGACGGAGUCUCGCUCUGUCGCCCAGGCUGGAGUGCAGUGGCGGAUCUCAGCUCACUGCAAGCUCCACCUCCCGGGUUUAGCCAUUCUCCUGCCUCAGCCUCCCGAGUAGCUGGGACUACAGGCACCGGCCACCUCACCCGGCUAGUUUUUGUAUUUUUAGUAGAGACGGGGUUUCACCGUGUUAGCCAAGAUGGUCUCGAUCUCCUGACCUCGUGAUCCGCCCGUCUCGGCCUCCCAAAGUGCUGGGAUUACAGGCUUGAGCCACCGCCCGGCCUAAGACUUUGGUUCACUUCUAACUCUACCACUUAAUACGGGAGCUUGAGUAAGGUGCCCCUGUAGUUCUGUCAGCUCUCAAAUCACUACAAUCAUGCUUUUGUUGCCACCAUUGUCUGAAUUCACACUUGCCAAAGUCAACAAAUCUGGGGCCAUCCUACUCACUCUCCCAACAACAUCUGAUACACUUGGUCACUCCCUCCCUCCUUCCUUUGUUUUCUUCAGGGACACUACUCUCUACAGGUUUCCUUUGUAUCUAAUGGGCUUCUCCUGAAGUUUAAAUGUUGAAGUGCCUCAGGGCUCAAUCUUUGACCCUCUCCUUAAUCUAGACUUAUCACCUAUUACCUCCUGACUUUAAAUACCGUCUAUAACCAAUGAAGAUUCCCAAACUUCUCUUGCUGGCCCCUAACUUCUGCCCUGAGCUCCAGGCUCAUGAAUUCAACUGCUUAUGGGACAUCUUCUCUGAGAUCUUUAAUAACUCUCUCUAAUACGUACAAAAUGGAGCUCUUGUUCUUACCCCUAAAGCCUGUCUCUUCCAGGCUUCCCCAUCCAGAAAUUGCACCACAUGUCAUUCAGUUAUUUGGGCCAAAACUGAAAGGUCGUCCUCUUUCUCCAUUCCUCCUCCCCAAUCAAUCCAUCAGCAAGCUAAGUCUGCCUCAUUUUUUCAUUCAUCUGUUCAACAAAUAUAUUUAUUGAGUGUAUAGUAUGUGCCAGGCACUCUUCUAUGCUCUUGGGAUACUACUGAAUAAAAUAAAGAUCUCUGAUUACAUUUCUAGCAAGGGAGAUGAUACUAUAGAUAAAAGAAAAUAUAGAUCAAGUUUAAAAGUAUAAAAAGGACAGAUUUUAGUACUAAAUGAUGCCUCAGUAAAGUGAAAUUCAAGCAAGAUUAGUUUUGGCCACAUGGAUUUCCAGGAGAUGGGCCUUUAUCUAGCAUAAGAAACAGCUGGAAUAAAGCCCUAUGGCAGGAGUGUUCUGACAUACAUGGGAAACAAACAGGAAGGAGGCAAGUGGGGCUGGGGUGGCAUGAGUGAGCCAGAGUUGUGGGAAAGGUGAAAAGAGAAGUAAAGCAGGGUCUGGAUUGGGAAAGGUCUUUUAGCUUAUCUUAAAGAUUUUGGCUUCUUCUGUUGAUUUAAAUGGAAGUCACUGCAGACUUCUAAGCACAGUGAUGUGAUCCAACCUACAUUUUAAAAGGAUGACCUGGGCCAGGUGCAGUGGCUCAUGCCUGUACUCCCAGCACUUUGGGAGAGGCGUGAGCCACUGUGCCCAGCCUAUAAAUUUUUUUAAGUUGUUAAAAAAUAAAUAAAUAAAAAGGAUGACUCUGGAGACUGUGCUGAGAAUAACCUGGGCGGGGGGCGGGAGGGGGCGAGCAGCAGAGAAUGGGCAGAAAUGACAGAAGCAGGGAGAUCUAUUAGGAGGUGAUGGUGACUCAGACUAGAGUGACAGCAGUGGAGGUGUGAAAGGGCUGGUUUCUAAUAUAUUUUGGAAAAGAGCCAACAAGUUUUGUUAAUGGAUUGGAGGUCAUGUUUGACAAAUAGAAUUAAGGAUGACUCCAAUGUUUCUGGCUUGAGUUAACUAGAAAGUUGUAAUUGCCAUCAACUGAGACUAAAACAUAACCCAAAUUUGACCACUUCUCUCCACCUCUACCCUGACCAAGCCGUCGUCUCUUCUCCCUGGACCACUGCACUGGC
This is a long non-coding RNA of Macaca fascicularis (crab-eating macaque), 1980 nucleotides long. NCBI's taxonomy places the organism in Eukaryota, Metazoa, Chordata, Mammalia, Primates, Cercopithecidae. The record is from Ensembl.